CCUACAUUCCGUCCUUAGGGUGGUCAAGUAUCCAUUGAAGCCCUGCUGGCCGGGGCAACUGGCACCCAACAUGGAUGAAACCACCUCUUGAGGAUUCAGAAUGUCGUCUCCUGGAGGAAAGACCAAGGCCUUGGUGAAGUUUUUGGAUCCCCCUGAAAUCUCCCGGUUCAGGACGCGAUCCCAGAGGAGCGCGGAGGUGACGCAGAGCACUGGAAAGACCAGGAAAGGGGAGAGACUAGCGCCCUGACAAGCCCUGACAAAGCCCUGAAGAACAGGAGUUCCAACCCUGAGCCACACAGCUUCCCUCGGGCUGAACUCUGCCACUGGCCCAGGCAGCAGUCACAGGAAGCUGGCCACAGAGCAACUGGGAGUCGGAUACAAGCAGGAGACCACAGGCUGCCCUUCUCCUUUGGCUUCCAGGAGGAUCACAGUCGCCCUCUUCUAAAACCCGCCCAGCAAAAAGCAUCAAGACAAUGAGGCCACAUACUGGGCCACAUGUCCCUGCAGCGCUGGCUUCUGUGAGUGCAAGGUAGCAGUGACUUGGCAUUCUGGGGAGACCGGGAAUAGAGCAGCAGAAUACUAGGUCCCUUUCCUUGAUAUUCUGAGCCGCCCCUUGGGGACUUCUUGCCCAGCGUCCUGAUGUCGUCUUAUGAAAAGUCCUCUUUAAGAAAAAACUCCCUCUUCGUUCUCUCUCCUGACUCUUGCCAGAGGUAGAGUGCACCUCCCUCUUUCCCUCUCUCCCCCCCUUUAAUAACAAACUUUCCACGUGGA
Molecule: long non-coding RNA, 771 nt
Organism: Peromyscus leucopus (white-footed mouse)
Lineage: Eukaryota; Metazoa; Chordata; Mammalia; Rodentia; Cricetidae
Exons: 2
Source: RefSeq, a predicted model, not a curated record